AGAGAGAGACAUGCGCGCAUAUCAAUAAGCGGAGGAAAAGAAACUAACAAGGAUUCCCUUAGUAACGGCGAGUGAAGCGGGAAGAGCUCAAAUUUGAAAUCUUCAAGGUUCUACCUUGACGAAUUGUAGUUUAUAGAAGUGUUUUCUGUUGGAGUUUUGGUAAAAGUUCUUUGGAAUAGGACAUCAUAGAGGGUGAGAAUCCCGUAUUUGACCAUUAUUUCCAACUUUGUGAUACACUUUCAACGAGUCGGAUUGUUUGGGAAUGCAGUCCAAGAUGGGUGGUAAAUUUCAUCUAAAGCUAAAUAUUGGCGAGAGACCGAUAGCGAACAAGUACCGUGAGGGAAAGAUGAAAAGAACUUUGAAAAGAGAGUUAAACAGUACGUGAAAUUGUCAAAAGGGAAGCGUUUGACACCAGUGUUGUUUUUCCGAAAAUCAAUUACGAAUGUUUUGUUUUUGAGGAGUUAUGACUUCAUCGGCUUGCUUCCUUUCUUUACGAAACUUUCCUUAAUGCACUUUUCGGUUAACAAGUCAACAUCAAUUUCUUUUGUUGUAAAAGGGUAGUGAGGAAGGUGGCUUUCUUUUCGGAGAAAGUGUUUAUAGCCUUGUGCCUCUGCAAUCGGAGAGAUUGAGGUCUGCAGCGUAGAUCCUUCGGGGUUAGAUACAUUUGUGCUAAGUUAUAGCUUUUCAUAGACAACUUGUUGACUAUGUUUAGUCUUGUAGCUUACUCGCUUAUGCUAUUUACCUACGCUUAGGAUGUUGAUCUGUAGUGCGUGCGC
RNAcentral lists this ribosomal RNA (776 nucleotides) under uncultured Neocallimastigales. Its description in RNAcentral is "partial large subunit ribosomal RNA". It matches the Rfam family "Eukaryotic large subunit ribosomal RNA", at positions 23 to 647 of the family's 3401-position model. The record is from RNAcentral. Lineage: Eukaryota; Fungi; Neocallimastigomycota; Neocallimastigomycetes; Neocallimastigales.